GCAAGAUUAAAACUCAAAGGAAUAGACGGGGACCCGCACAAGCGGUGGAGCAUGUGGUUUAAUUCGACGAUACGCGAAGAACCUUACCUGGCCUUGACAUAGACAGAAGUUUGCAGAGACGCAGAUGUGCUAGUUUACUAGAGCUGUCAUACAGGUGCUGCACGGCUGUCGUCAGCUCGUGUCGUGAGAUGUUGGGUUAAGUCCCGCAACGAGCGCAACCCUCGUGUUUAGUUACUAACAGUUCGGCUGAGGACUCUAAACAGACUGCCUGGGUAACCAGGAGGAAGGUGAGGACGACGUCAAGUCAUCAUGGCCCUUACGGCCAGGGCUACACACGUGCUACAAUGGGGUAUACAAAGAGCUGCAAUACGGUGACGUGGAGCAAAUCUCAUAAAAUAUCUCCCAGUUCGGAUUGAAGUCUGCAACUCGACUUCAUGAAGUUGGAAUCGCUAGUAAUCGUAGAUCAGCAAUGCUACGGUGAAUACGUUCCCGGGUCUUGUACUCACCGCCCGUCACACCAUGGGAAUUGAAUUCAUUCGAAGCGGGGAUGCUAAGAUAGCUACCUUCCACAGUGGAUUUAGUAACUAGGGUGAAGUCGUAACAAGGUA
This 608-nucleotide ribosomal RNA is filed under the name uncultured bacterium. RNAcentral describes it as "bacterial SSU rRNA". It matches the Rfam family "Bacterial small subunit ribosomal RNA", at positions 888 to 1498 of the family's 1533-position model. The record is from RNAcentral.